UGGGGAAUUUUGCGCAAUGGGCGAGAGCCUGACGCAGCAACGCCGCGUGGGUGAUGAAGGUCUUCGGAUCGUAAAACCCUGUCGUCAGGGACGAAGGUCACGAGUUUAAGAGAUGCGUGACUUGACAGUACCUGGAGAGGAAGCCCCGGCUAACUCUGUGCCAGCAGCCGCGGUAAUACAGAGGGGGCAAGCGUUAUUCGGAAUUAUUGGGCGUAAAGGGCGCGUAGGCGGUGUCUUAAGUGAGACGUGUAAUCCCCGAGCUUAACUUGGGAACUGCAUCUCAGACUGGGGCGCUAGAGUACUGGAGAGGGUGGUAGAAUUCCACGUGUAGCGGUGAAAUGCGUAGAGAUGUGGAGGAAUACCAGUGGCGAAGGCGGCCACCUGGACCACUCCUGACACUCAGACGCGAAAGCUAGGGUAGCAAACG
This 427-nucleotide ribosomal RNA is filed under the name uncultured prokaryote. RNAcentral describes it as "bacterial SSU rRNA". It matches the Rfam family "Bacterial small subunit ribosomal RNA", at positions 355 to 774 of the family's 1533-position model. The record is from RNAcentral.